This 253-nucleotide ribosomal RNA is filed under the name uncultured bacterium. RNAcentral's name for it is "partial 16S ribosomal RNA". It matches the Rfam family "Bacterial small subunit ribosomal RNA", at positions 524 to 776 of the family's 1533-position model. The record is from RNAcentral.
UACGGAGGGUGCGAGCGUUGUCCGGAAUGACUGGGCGUAAAGCGCGCGUAGGCGGAUCGUCAAGUCGGGGGUGAAAUCCCGGGGCUCAACCCCGGAGUGGCCUUCGAGACUGGCGGUCUUGAGUUCGAGAGAGGUGGGUGGAAUUCCGAGUGUAGAGGUGAAAUUCGUAGAUAUUCGGAGGAACACCAGUGGCGAAGGCGGCCCACUGGCUCGACACUGACGCUGAGGCGCGAAAGCGUGGGGAGCAAACAGG